RNAcentral lists this long non-coding RNA (10494 nucleotides) under Brassica napus (rape). RNAcentral's name for it is "long non-coding RNA (BNAP_LNC004497)". The record is from RNAcentral. Lineage: Eukaryota; Viridiplantae; Streptophyta; Magnoliopsida; Brassicales; Brassicaceae.
UUGUAACAUAGUGAUUUAUAUAAACAAGGAGAAACGAGUGAUUGAUUUAAACACAUAAUAGCAAAUACGUACCAAAGAUAAUUGGGCAAUAAUAUUAAACAAGAGAACAUAUUCAUUGAGGUAUUUCGUCGAACACCUUAAAGACUAUCUUAACAAAGACUAAACCUUUAGAAAAUUCACCAUAGAUCAAAAGUACACAUUAACGAACUAGACAAAGCUAGAUAAGUCUUCAAGCUCUUUCACCACGGAUUCUCCUAGCGAGCUGGAUAUCCUUGGGCAUGAUCGUCACUCUUUUGGCGUGAAUCGCGCAGAGAUUGGUGUCUUCGAACAAACCAACAAGGUAAGCCUCAGCAGCCUCUUGCAAAGCCGCGACGGCGCUGCUCUGGAACCUCAGAUCCGUCUUGAAGUCCUGAGCGAUCUCACGGACCAGACGCUGGAAGGGAAGCUUGCGGAUGAGAAGCUCGGUGCUCUUCUGGUACUUCCUGAUCUCACGAAGGGCGACGGUUCCGGGACGGAAUCUGUGCGGCUUCUUCACUCCUCCCGUGGCCGGAGCCGACUUCCUCGCCGCUUUCGUCGCCAGCUGCUUCCUCGGAGCCUUUCCUCCGGUGGAUUUUCUAGCGGUUUGCUUGGUACGAGCCAUUUGGGUUUAUUACUCUUUUUGCUGUUUGGUUUCUGAGAGAAUGUGAAUUGAUGUGCGUAAAGUGAGGAUGGGAUGUGUUUUUUUAUACUGAAGCGAGAGAUGAUGUGUUUGUUUUUGAUCCGUUGGAUCUUUUGGGUUAUUGACGGUUGAGAUUGUUUGCAUCUAUCUAUCCGCGUCAAUUGUUAUGUAACCAAUCAGAAUAACUUGUGUAUCCUUUGAUAUCCGCGUCAUUUAUUAAUUAACCAAUCAGAAUGACUUUUAGAUUGUUCCGACCUUUUUCGACAAAAAAAAAAACAGCAUAUAUUUUUCCAUGGUAAAGGCUGUCGCAUGAGACUUUUAGCUUGUAGGCUGCAGUGUUGUUGGGCCUCUCAGACGAGUUAAGUUUUGAUUUAUAAAACUAUUAAUGUUAUUUUAAAUAUUUUAAAAUAUCAGAUUGGUAUUAAAAAAAAUAUAAAACUGUGAUUAUAUUUUUAUAUUAUUGAAACUGCGAUUCAUGUUAUGUUAUUAUUGUGUUAUUUAUCCAAAUGCGAACCAUGUUCAUACACCCAUCUUAUUACUUGCCCAUUUCAAUAAACCAAUCAUGUAAGAUUGAGUCAUUGAAACGAUAGGAUAGAUGUUCAAAAAAAUAUAUAUAUAUAUAUGAUAAUAUGUUUCACACGAUCGACAUGAUCUAAAUAUUUGGAAUGUGCACUUGUGUAAUUUAUAUAUAUCUGAUACAAUCUUCAGUUUCUUGAGUUUGAGACAGACCAUUUCUUAACGUGCACACUUGCUUUUUGUGCCUACAAAUGACGAAACGAUUGCACUAAAAGACAUGCAUGAAAACUAACCAUAUAUGUGAACCAAAAGCAAUAGUAGAAAUUAGUGUACCUCUUUUUCCCAGUCACAUCUCAUAACAAUAAAAAUCAGUCUCAGUGUUUGAAUCCCGGUUCCUCCGAAUAUCAUACCAGCCCAAAUGCCCUAUCAACACAAUAACAAUAUAAGCAAGAUAUAGAGAGCUUUAAGAGCACCAUUAACCAAAGGUGCUUAAGGGGUGCUUAGAUUGUUUUUAAUUAAAAAGAAAAGGAAAGAGAAGAAUAAGAAGAAAGAGGAGUGCUUAACUAGGCAUCACAAGUAUAUGUUGCUUGCACUAUUCGCAGUCCCCACUGACACGUGGCAGCAUGCGAUUGGUUCUUUUUUUUUAAUCAGAGAAAAAACUAAAAAAAAAAAAAUUAGGGUUAAUGAUGCUAUUACAGUAGCUCAAUUACCGUAGUUUGUUGGAGGAGUUUUACGAAAAGAUAAAAUGAUAAAAAAACAUGAAUGAGAAAAUGUAAAAGUUCUUAAAUCACAGAUUUUUGGAACCUAUCAAGAAACUAAAGAGCGGGUGUCACCUUGUUAAUCUAUCAACAUAUUCUAAAAAGCAAAUAAAUAGUUAUAAUUUUAUAAUAUUAAUAUUUUUUUUCUUUUAGAACUCAUCACACAUUUUACCGAUAAUGAUGCUCUUAAGAGCAUCCACAACCAUUGGGACUUCAUUAAGUAUCUAAAAAAUAAAUUAUUAAUAUUUGAUUACAAUUACUUUAAGCAAUUAAUUUUUAUUUACCUUUUUAAAUUUGAGCUAAUAUAAAAGUGACACAUGAGUUUGUGGGAUUUUUUAAGGUCCUUGAAACACAUAAGUUUAGAACCUUUUCUGACACUUUUCCUAACUUUUUGCAUUUUUAAUUAUUUUUAACUUUGGAAACUUGUGUUAAAAACCCUCCAUUGGAGGUGUUCUUGCAAUAAUUUGCUAAUUUCAUAUAAAAAAGGAAGAUAAUAUGGGUUACCUUGACACCAUACUUGAAAAUCCAGCCCAUGACAAAUCCAAGUGGAAGUCCGAUGAAAUAAUAGCAUCCCAAAUUUAUAUAUGCCACGAAUGAUUGCCAACCCGAACCAACAGCAACACCUAAUUAAAAGUCACCACACAAGUGUUGAGCGGUUUAUUUUGUCAUAGCAAAAGAAAUUAGAUUGUUUUUGUGACGUACCAGAAAGAACCGGUUGGAUACUGUUGAGAAGAAUAGUAAAGGCUAGAAGAAUAGAAAGGUCAUUAACUGCUUUUAUGAUAGUGUCACUUGAAGAGAAGAUCCAGCCGAUUUGAUCAUGAAGAAAUACUACAAGCAUCGAAAAUACUAUUCCGAUGAUUAACGACUCUGUCACUGAUAUGAUCAUUGCAAAUCUUGCUCCUCUUCCAUUGCCUGCUCCUAACUCAUUCGCCACUCUCACGCUACAAAACCAAGUUAAGUAUAAACUUACAAAGGAGUACUACUUAUAAGCCAUGAACUAGUCUGACUAGAGACAUGAACAUAACUAGAGUAUCUAUACGGUGAUAGUAAAUAUAAGAGAUUGAUUACCCGGUCCCGGCAAAGAAAGCAAGUGGUAUCAUCAUCUCCAAACCAUUUAUUGACAUGCUGCCGAUGAAAAUUGAAGUUAUCAUAACUUGAUCAGAAAUUCACAUAUAAUAUAUACCAGUCUUCAAAACUAUAUAUUUGACGUACCAUAUAGACAAAGAGUCGACAGCAAUUUUUGUAUCCUUCAGAUUUCCAGUCAUCAUUAUUAGAAUCUUAUAAUACCAAUUCUCCAAGCUGUCUCUCGACAAAAAGACACAGUAAGAAGUUGUAUUCGAUAUGUAAAGCAAACUCGAUAAAGUGUGACACAAGUGGACUUUAAAGAAUCAAUACCAAAGCAUGAUUCCAGAAGAAGCAGAGAGCUUAGCGAAUUCCCAUAGUCUGGUGAAAGCUUCAAUGGAGAAACCAGUCCAAGUGAGUGGACAACCGCCACAAGUGGCGUACGUAAAUAAGAUGAGGACAUUGAGGCACCAUGACACGUUAAUAGUAGCCAUAGUCCCUAUGGGUCCAAGUUUAAGACCAUACACAAAAAGCCAGCACACAAAUAUGUGAACUACAAGUGCCACCCCAGAAGAAAGUGCAACCACCUGGUAUAGUAAGAGGAUAUUAACAAAACACAUUUAAAAUCGUUAAGUGUUAAGUUCCUGUUUAUAAUAAAUUUUUAACUUAAACUAAUUGGUGAUAAGUUGAUUGAUCAUUGCUCUUUAUAUAUUAGUUAAUUAUUUUUUCCAAAAAUAGGUGUGAGACUUCAUUCAUUCAAUAACAUCAAGGAGCUAAUCCGCCCCUUCCGUUACAACCUUUCAAAUCUUGAUGUAGUUACAUACCCUAUUCUUGAGCUGACACUGCAAGAAUCGGCUGAGAGGAAAAUAUAAGGCAAACACGAAAUGAGUAGGAAUGGUCCAAAAGGCCACGGUACCGGAGAGCUUGGCAACGUCUUCAGGCUGGCCGAAGAACUUAAGAAUCGGAGACGCAAACAAGUACACAGGAAGGAGUAAGAUGGCAAAUAAAAAGAGAACGAUCCAAGAUCGUUGCAUAUACACUCCCAACAUGUCAUACUUCUUCGCUCCAAACGCUUGUCCGCACAGCGUCUGCAACGCACUCGCCAUUCCAAGCUGCAUGUAGUUAAUAUAUUAAUCUCUUUCAUACAUUAUAAGGUAGAAAAAUUGUUUAUAUAUAUGCGUGUGUGUAUACAAAGAGGCCGAUGCUGAAGCCAAUGAUGACGUUUUGGACUAUAGCAAUGGCGGCGAGUUCUAGCUCCCCGAGGUGGCCAGCAAAGGCCUGAGUGAUGACGAAGAUCGAGUAUGUCGAGAUUCUGGCGAAUAUGGCCGGUCCAACGAUACGCCAUAGCUUCUUCGUCUCCAUCCAUGUCUCUCUCUUUAUGUCUCCGUUUUGCUCCUCCUCCCCAUAUUGAUCCCUCGACUUCUCUAUACCUUCUGUUUCAUCGUCUCUUUUUGCCAUCUUCUUGAAAGUAAAGAAUCGCGGACUAGAGUGAUGGAGAGUAUAUGGGGGUAAAGCAUAUAUAUAUAUUGAGUGGAGAGCGGAGACUCCACUGCGGUCAUUUUUUAUAAUCUAUUUUUCUGUCGCAAUUUAACCAGGAAUAGUAUAUAUGCAUGCUGCAUGUGUGGUUUCUAUCAAGACGAUGAAAGUAGCAAACUAGCAAUGGAUUAAAUUGAACAAAUUCAUAUGAAGCAUUUUUAUUAAUACAGUCUAUAUAUAGUUGAUACCACAUGCGGUGCGUCCAUUUGUUAUAUAUAUAUUUAUUACGCACUUUGUUUCACAAAAAUGUUAUUUGAUUUUUUUGACACAUAUUAAAAUCAUUUUAGAAUAAUUUUUACCCUUUAUCAUACACUAAUUAUCUUUUCUAAUUAAUUCAAUUUUUUUUGUGAAAACUUGAUUUUAUUUAGAAUUAUGUAUAUGAAUACAAACUACACUAUUUGUAAAAUAAAAAUAAAAUAUAAAAUGACACUUUUUGCGAAACAUAUAAAAGUAUAUCUCAAAAGAAUCUUAAAAAUAUUAAUUAAUGUUUUAGAUCAGUACAAUUUAAUUUAUUCACUCGUUUCAAUCUCUCUAAAUAUUAGGAAAAUGAGGGAGGUUUAUAAUAUAUAUACAUAUAUACACUUCGUUUUACUUUAAUAAAAUGUUGAAUUUUGGGUUAACUUUCGAUUUACAAUUUUCAAACAACUGUUGAUAAUGUUGCACUUACGGUAUAUAAAUUCACCAUUCCAAAUAAAUCUGAAAUAGUGCCUUACACGACUACUUGCGAUUCAUUAUAGUCCACAUUCGAUUUUUAUUCUGUUUGUUGCGUAUCGUCUUGAUUAGGUUCGGUUCUACACUAAUCCCACAUAUUCUAUGGUUUCUUCUUUUUGACAUAUAUUCUAUGGUCUUUUAACAUUCUCUAAUCAGCUAAUGUGAUUUGAAACCACAAAGUAGUGGAAAUACGAAUAUUUAGACAAUUUUAAUUAUCUUUUUCAUAAGCCAUAUAUAUGCAUCUUUGUGUUUGAUCAACAACUUCAUUUCCAACGUUUAUAUGUAACUAACGUCCACAUUGCUUAAUGUCAUGGAUUCAACAACUUAGUUUUCUACCUUUAUAUUAUUCCAUCAUGUAUAAAGUUCAUUAUUCUAUAUAAAGCUGUUUCGGUUCAUUCUUACGAAGUAAUGAAAAAUCUAAUCAUAAUUUCAUCCUCCUUUUAAAAUGUUAUUAUAAAUUUACAACUUUCUCCAAGUGGUUUUACAAAUCAUCAUAUUCUCCUUCAUGUCCGUUCAAACUUGUCUAUAAUAUGUUUAGAUUUAUCAAAAUUUAUCAUCAAAUCUCAGGCUGUGUGGCCGCCAGAGAGGCUCAUGUAUAGACAUUUGGAUAUUGAUAGAAGUUAUCUUAGAUGUACUGGUCUAGUGGAAUCGAUUAAUCAUCUUCUUUUUAAAUGUCCGUCAACUCUUCGGAUUUGGAUUUUAUCGGACUAUUCGUCUUUUCCGGAUUACUUCCCUAGUACAUCUAUAUAUCAAAAGAUGAACUUCCUGUUUUGGAAUAUAUGCUCCAAAUAUGUAUUUAUUUUACAACUGUAUACAAAUUAUACAAUCUUCAGUGUCUUGCCUCUGAAUUUGAGAUCUACCAUUUGUUAACGCGCACGCUUGCUUUUUGUGCCAAUUUUGAGAAAAACGACGAAACAAUUGCAUGAAAUAAACCAUAUACGUGAACGAAAGUAAUAAAAUUGCAUUACCUCUUUGUCCCAGUCACAUCUCGUAACAAUAAAAAUCAAUAUCAAUGUCUGAAUCGCAGUUCCUCCGAAUAUCAUACCAGCCCAAAUGCCCUAUAACAUAAAAUCACAAUAUAUUAUAUAUAGAGAUAAAUCAGCCUUCAAAUCUUGAGUUUAUUAAAAAAUCUGGCGUUUACCUUGACACCAAACUUGAAAAUCCAUCCCAUGACAAAUCCAAGUGGAAGACCCGAUGAAAUAAUAGCAUACCAAAUUUAUAUAUGCCACGAAUGAUUGCCAACCCGAACCAAUCGCAACACCUAAUCCAAAAUCAAAAGUCACUUCGGUUUAUUAUGGAAUGACAAACAAAUUAAUUUUGUUUUGUAGCAAACCAGAAAGAACCGGUUGGACACUGUUAAGAAGAAUAGUAAAGGCUAAAAGGAUAGAGAGAGAUCAGUGACUGCUUUUAUGACGGUUUCACUUGAAGAGAAGAUCCAACCGAUUUGAUCAUGAAGAAAUACUACAAGAACCGAAAAUAUUAAACCAGUAAUCAACGAUUCUAUCACUGAUAUGAUCAUUGCAAAUCUUGCUCUUCUUCCAUUGCCUGCUCCUAAUUCAUUAGCUCCGGAAGUGGCGUAAGUAAAUAAGAUGAAGGCAUUGAGACACCAAGACACGUUAACAGUAGCCAUGGUCCCUACGACUCCGAGUCUAAGACGAUAUACAAAAAGCCAGCACACAAAUAAGUGAACUACAAGUGCCACUCCAGAAGAAACGACAACCACCUGAUUGAUAGUAGCGUUAGUCAGAGAAAUAUCAAAUAGUUUACCAAACACUAGUAUAUAAUAUCAAAAUCAUAUUAAGUCAUUAUAUUUUGGAGCAAAUUAUUAUUACUAAAACAAGCAAUCAAAUAAUGAUGGGUAAUUCUCUCAAAUAAAUAUUUUUAAAAUUUUAUCGUAAAAAUAAUCCUCAAAAAAUAAAAUGACCAAAAUAGUUAAAAAGAAAAAAAUUUGAACUCAUCCACAAAACCCAACUCUUUAACUUUAAACACUAAGUCUUAGAUUAGUUAAUCCUAAAAGCAUCUCCAUUAGUGUAAGUGAAACGGAGGGGGCUAUAAUAAUUGAUUAUUAUUAUUUUAUCUUUUUUUGUUUGAUUUUUUUUUUAAAAUAAUAACCGAAGGAUCGCCACGUAUCGUGGGGUCCGUGAAACAGUGAUGAAACAGAAACGAAUGCUUGGAGAAGUAUAUAUACCAUGGCCGGGGACAAGUACCUAUGGCACUGUUUGGUUCUGGUGCUCAGAUAAAGCAUCUUGAAGUUGAUCAGAGAUUCUUGACGGCCGAUGUAUUUUAUUACGGCGACAGUUUCGUUGAUGACAGAGAGCUUCUGAGGUUCCUGGAGAGGAAGAUCGAUGUGUGUAUCUGCUCUAUUCAUAAGUUUGCUGGGAACAAGCAAGACUGUGAUGAGAAGGACAAGUGGGGUAGGAUAACCUUUCUCACUCCGGAAUCUGCUAUGAAGGCAACAGAGAUUCAGAGAUUUGAUUUCAACGGAUCGGUGCUUAAACUAUUUCCAUCGCUGGCAACUGGUGGGGGAGGAAUGUUCAAGAUGCCUUCAUUCCCUUCUGUUACAGCUAUGAUUCGUUGGCCGCAAAGGGAGAGCACUGGCAGAGGCGUUCUUAAGUGCCCAUCCGGUGAUGUUCACAGCGUAUUUAAUGGGACCUCUGACAUUGUGAUAGGAACAAGAUACGCCCGCUUUGAGACGGAUCAAAGGUUCAGUGACUCAAUCUUGAUUACUAAUAUUGACUCAGGUCUUGUGGAAGCAGACGUUUUAGAUGCUUUGGAGUUCUACACGGGGAGAACAGAUUUGGAAUUUUUCCUGUUGAGAAGAAAGAGCGUGCGGUGUCCACCUCCUACUGUCUGUGCAGAUAUGCUGCAUAAGAGGAUAUUUGCGUGCAUGUCAUCGAGCAGUCCAGAGCCGAACUGCGUCCAAGUCAAAGUUUUUGAACCAAAAGAAACAGAUUAUUUCAUGCGAGCGUUGAUUACUUUUGAUGGAAGAUUACACUUGGAAGCCGCGAAAGCUUUGGAGGAGUUAGAUGGAGAGGUGCUACCUGGAUGCCUUUCAUGGCAGAAGAUCAAAUGCGAGCAAAAGUUUCAGAGCUCCAUAAUCUGUCCUGCUUCUGUCUACAACAUAGUCAAAAGACAACUGAAUGCUAAGUUAACAAGCUUCGAGAGACAAAGAGGUAACUUCUACCACCUAAUAGUAAUAACCUUACAGUGUUAUCUGACUACUUCUGAGCAUAGGUUUGAUAUUUCUCUUAUAUAUAUUUGUAGGAGGUACUUGGCAUCUGGAGCCAACACAUGGUGGUGCUUACCGUGUUAGAAUAUCUGCUUAUGCAACAAAACCCAUCUCAGAGAUGCGGAGAUCUCUUGAAGAACUCGUAAGAGGAAGACCCAUAAACCAUCCAGGCCUAACCCCAAGGGUCUUGCAGCAUCUCUCUUCCAGAGACGGUGUUAUUCUGAUGCGGAGGAUCCAACACGAGACUGAAACGUACAUUUUACUAGACAGGCACAGUCUCACAGUGCGCAUUUGUGGAUCAGAAGAGAAAAUCGCUGCGGCUGAGCAAGAACUGGUUCGUUCGCUUCUGGCCGAUCACGAGAGGCAGCAGCUUGAAAUCCGCCUCCGAGGUCCUCAGUUACGUCCUGACCUAAUGAAGGAAGUUGUGAACCGGUUUGGUCCGGAUCUCCAAGGUAUCAAAGAGAAGGUAGAUGGCGUGGACCUCAAGCUCAACACGCGGUACCAUGUUAUUCAGGUUCAUGGGAGCGUGGAGAUGAGGCAGGAAGUAGAAAAGAUCGUCUACGAACUUGCACGUGAAGGUAGUGAACCGGGAGGAAAACCAGAUGACAUUGAAGUUGAAUGCCCCAUCUGCCUGUGUGAGGUUGAUGAUGGCUACUCUCUCGAAGGAUGCUCGCACCUCUUCUGCAAAGCUUGUUUGUUGGAACAGCUCGAGGCAUCGAUGAGAAACUUCGACGCGUUUCCCAUUCUUUGCUCUCACGCGGACUGUGGAGCUCCGAUAGUACUCGCUGAUAUGAGAGCGCUCUUAUCACAAGAGAAGCUAGAUGAGCUCUUCAAAGCCUCCCUAUCCUCUUUUGUGACAACCAGCGAUGGUAACUUCCGGUUUUGCUCCACUCCUGACUGCCCUUCCGUUUACCGCGUAGCUGUUGGUCCUCGAGAGUCAGGGGAGCCGUUCAUCUGCGGAGCUUGUAACGCAGAGACGUGCAGAAGGUGCCACCUGGAGUAUCACCCGUAUAUCACUUGCGAGAGGUACAAACUGUUUAAAGAAGAUCCUGACAUGUCGUUGAAAGACUGGGCGAAGGGGAAGAACGUGAAGGAGUGUCCGUUUUGCAAGUCGACGAUAGAGAAAUCUGAAGGGUGUAACCAUCUGCUGUGCCGGUGUGGGAAGCAUAUCUGCUGGGUUUGCUUAGACUUCUUCACUCAUCAAGAGCCUUGUUAUGAGCAUUUGAGAGCAGUCCAUGGUGGAAUAGGCAUCUUCGAUGAGCUCGGCAUCCCCUUGCUUUGAAGUUUGAAAAACCGGACCUCUUCAUUGUACAAUUAAUUAGUCUUUAAGCUUAAGUCCUUGUAAUCUAUAUAUUAUGUAAAUUCUGGUUUGGUUCAUGUGUACAUAUGUCGAGAUACUCUGGUUCAGUAGUAUUCCUUCUUUAAACAAUUACUAGAUCAUAACCUGAUGCCAUAAUAUGAAAUGUUUUUGUUACUAGUCUUAGAUCUGAUUUGUUACAUCACCCAUUUCAAGUUAAAGCUGUGGGAAUGUGAAGAUAUUGCUUAUUGGAAGUUGAAGAGAUUUAUACAGAAGUUUCAGUGCUAACUUAUUCACAUCAUCAAGAAGAAGAAGGAACCAAGACCCGGUUAUUCCAAACCGACUGCCAUCUUUACUGGUUAGACCGGUUAAUUGGUGAUUACAACUAAGCUUACGUAACGACUGUGUUGUGUUAUAUAUAUCAUAACGUUUCAAUGUUUGUAACAUUGCGAUUUUGAUAAACAAGGAGAAACGAGUGACUGAUUUAAACACAUAAUAGCAAAUAAAUAUCAAAGACAAUUAGGCAAUAAUAUUAAACAAGAGAACAUAUUCAUUGAGGUAUUUCGUCGAACACCUUAAAGACUAUCUUAACAAAGACUAAACCUUUAGAAAAUUCACCAUAGAUCAAAAGUACACAUUAACGAACUAGACAAAGCUAGAUAAGUCUUCAAGCUCUUUCACCACGGAUUCUCCUAGCGAGCUGGAUAUCCUUGGGCAUGAUCGUCAC